RNAcentral lists this unclassified non-coding RNA (331 nucleotides) under Hevea brasiliensis (rubber tree). Lineage: Eukaryota; Viridiplantae; Streptophyta; Magnoliopsida; Malpighiales; Euphorbiaceae. The record is from RNAcentral.
AAAAUUGUAAAGCUUAAAAAAUAAUAAUAAUACAACACGAAAAAGUUUUGGGAAAAUAGUCUCCCAAGACAGAUGAGAAUUCAGUCUUCAUAAUGAAACCUUCAAUUUCAAAUUGCCAUCACUCUAUUCAUUGGUUUCAUAAUUUAUAGUCAUCAAUUAGACCCUUUUUCAUAAAUCAGCUUCUAGCAAUUGGUUUUAAAACCAGAUAUUUUAAGCACCAUGCAGAAGUAUCCACCCACCAAAUACAGCCUAGUAAUUUUAAGAAAUACAAAGUAAAGCUACCUUGUUACCAACUCUUUGCCUCAUUGGUAUUUUUCUAAUCUUACAUUUG